Molecule: ribosomal RNA, 468 nt
Filed under: uncultured bacterium
Lineage: Bacteria
Description: partial 16S ribosomal RNA
Rfam family: Bacterial small subunit ribosomal RNA
Source: RNAcentral
GACGAACGCUGGCGGCGUGCUUAACACAUGCAAGUCGAACGGAAAGGCCCUGCUUUUGUGGGGUUCUCGAGUGGCGAACGCGUGUGUAACACGUGAGUAACCUGCCCUUGACUUUGGGAUAACUUCAGGAAACUGGGGCUAAUAUCGCAUAGGAGCUCCUGCUGCAUGGUGUGGGUUGGAAAGUUUCGGCGGUUGUGGAUGGACUCGCGGCUUAUCAUCUUGUUUGUGGAGUAGUGGCUUACCAAGGCUUUGACGGGUAGCCGACCUGAGAGGGUGACCGGCGACAAUGGGACUGAGGUACGGACCAGAAGGGAACGGGAGGCAACAGGGGGGAAUAUUGCAGAAUGGGGGGGAGUGAGAUACAGAGACGCCGGGUGCGGGAAGACGGGCUUCGGGUUGUAAACCGAUUUCGACUGUGACGAAGCGUGAGUGACGGUAAUGGGUAAAGAAGCACCGGCUAACUACGUG